AAAAUGCACCACUCUAUUUAUCCACAGAACAGGUACACCAUAUAUAGUAGCAGUAUAAGCUUUCUGACACCACUUUGCCAAUGAACCUGAUAUGAAGUGACCACAUCUGAGUGGGAGAAGUUAGUUUAGGCUUUGACUUUAGCUUAG
This 147-nucleotide small RNA is filed under the name Gopherus agassizii (Agassiz's desert tortoise). Its description in RNAcentral is "TUC338 (ENSGAGG00000014833.1)". The record is from RNAcentral. Lineage: Eukaryota; Metazoa; Chordata; Testudines; Testudinidae.